RNAcentral lists this transfer RNA (67 nucleotides) under Marmota monax (woodchuck). RNAcentral's name for it is "tRNA.Ala". It matches the Rfam family "tRNA". From Rfam's summary of the family: Transfer RNA (tRNA) molecules are approximately 80 nucleotides in length. Their secondary structure includes four short double-helical elements and three loops (D, anti-codon, and T loops). Further hydrogen bonds mediate the characteristic L-shaped molecular structure. tRNAs have two regions of fundamental functional importance: the anti-codon, which is responsible for specific mRNA codon recognition, and the 3' end, to which the tRNAs corresponding amino acid is attached (by aminoacyl-tRNA synthetases). tRNAs cope with the degeneracy of the genetic code in two manners: having more than one tRNA (with a specific anti-codon) for a particular amino acid; and 'wobble' base-pairing, i.e. permitting non-standard base-pairing at the 3rd anti-codon position. The record is from RNAcentral. Lineage: Eukaryota; Metazoa; Chordata; Mammalia; Rodentia; Sciuridae.
GGUUGUAGCUCAGUGGUAGAGCACUUGCCUAGCACAUGUGAGGCACUGGGUUCAAUUCUCAGCACCA